AAUCGUUACGUAAGCUAGAAUUUACAGUUACGUAAAAUGGACUUUUCAAAGAUCUUUUUCUUCGUUUUCGCCUGCCUUUUGGCUUUAACAUCCGUGUCUGCGGCACCCAGUCCCAAAUGGAAGAUUUUCAAGAGAAUUGAGAAAGUCGGCAGAAAUGUAAGGGACGGACUUAUAAAAGCUGGCCCAGCUGUUCAGGUCGCAGGUCAAGCCGCGACAAUCUACAAAGGA
Pararge aegeria (speckled wood butterfly) is the source of this 228-nucleotide long non-coding RNA. RefSeq lists it as uncharacterized. The transcript is spliced from 2 exons. The record is from RefSeq and is a predicted model, not a curated record. Lineage: Eukaryota; Metazoa; Arthropoda; Insecta; Lepidoptera; Nymphalidae.